Molecule: ribosomal RNA, 464 nt
Filed under: uncultured bacterium
Lineage: Bacteria
Description: partial 16S ribosomal RNA
Rfam family: Bacterial small subunit ribosomal RNA
Source: RNAcentral
CUACGGGAGGCAGCAGUGGGGAAUAUUGCACAAUGGGCGCAAGCCUGAUGCGGCCAUGCCGCGUGUAUGAAGAAGGCCUUCGGGUUGUAAAGUACUUUCAGCGGGGAGGAAGGGAGUAAAGUUAAUACCUUUGCUCAUUGACGUUACCCGCAGAAGAAGCACCGGCUAACUCCGUGCCAGCAGCCGCGGUAAUACGGAGGGUGCAAGCGGUAAUCGGAAUUACUGGGCGUAAAGCGCACGCAGGCGGUUUGUUAAGUCAGAUGUGAAAUCCCCGGGCUCAACCUGGGAACUGCAUCUGAUACUGGUAAGCUUGAGUCUCGUAGAGGGGGGUAGAAUUCCAGGUGUAGCGGUGAAAUGCGUAGAGAUCUGGAGGAAUACCGGUGGCGAAGGCGGCCCCCUGGACGAAGGCUGACGCUCAGGUGCGAAAGCGUGGGGAGCAAACAGGAUUAGAUACCCGAGUAGUC